This 406-nucleotide ribosomal RNA is filed under the name uncultured bacterium. Its description in RNAcentral is "partial 16S ribosomal RNA". It matches the Rfam family "Bacterial small subunit ribosomal RNA", at positions 30 to 526 of the family's 1533-position model. The record is from RNAcentral.
AUUGAACGCUGGCGGCAGGCCUAACACAUGCAAGUCGAACGAGUGGCGGACGUGUGAUUAAUGUCUGGUAAACUGCCUGAUGGAGGGGGAUAACUACUGGAAACGGUAGCUAAUACCGCAUACCAUCGGAUGUGCCCAGAUGGGAUUAGCUAGUAGGUGGGGUAAAGGCUCACCUAGGCGACGAUCCCUAGAUGGUCUGAGAGGAUGAACAGCAACCCUGGAACUGGGACACGGUCCAGACUCCUACGGGAGGCAGCAGUGGGGAAUAUUGGACAAUGGGCGCAAGACUGAUGCAGCCAUGCCGCGUGUAUGAAGAAGGCAUUCGGGUUGUAAAGUACUUUCAGCGGGGAGGCGUUACCCGCAGAAGAAGCACCGGCUAACUCCGUGCAAGCAGCCGCGGUAAGUC